UACAGAGGGUGCAAACGUUGUUCGGAUUUACUGGGCGUAAAGCGUGUGUAGGUGGUUUUGUAAGUCAGGUGUGAAAUCCCGGGGCUCAACCUCGGACGUGCAUUUGAUACUGCAGAACUUGAGUACUGGAGAGGUUGGCAGAAUUCUUGGUGUAGAGGUGAAAUUCGUAGAUAUCAAGAGGAAUACCUGUGGCGAAGGCGGCCAACUGGACAGAUACUGACACUGAGACACGAAAGCGUGGGGAUCAAACAGG
RNAcentral lists this ribosomal RNA (253 nucleotides) under uncultured bacterium. RNAcentral's name for it is "partial 16S ribosomal RNA". It matches the Rfam family "Bacterial small subunit ribosomal RNA", at positions 524 to 776 of the family's 1533-position model. The record is from RNAcentral.